This 267-nucleotide long non-coding RNA is filed under the name Prunus dulcis (almond). RNAcentral describes it as "sRNA ncRNA". The record is from RNAcentral. Lineage: Eukaryota; Viridiplantae; Streptophyta; Magnoliopsida; Rosales; Rosaceae.
AUGUGUGCAACAAGAGGAGCUUGGAUCGCAGCGGUUAGUGUUGGAGCUGUUGAGGCUUUGAAAGAUCAAGGCUUCUGCAGAUGGAGUUACACCAUGAGGUCUUUGAUCCAGCAUGCCAAGAACAAUAUGAGAUCGUUCUUACAAGCCAAGGAGCUCUCUUCUUCUUCUUCUGCUAUGGUUUUGAACAAAAUGAAUUCUGAACAGAAGAACCAAGCUGAGGAUUCUCUAAGAAAAGUCAUGUACUUGAGCUGUUGGGGUCCUUAUUGA